CUACAGAGGGUGCAAGCGUUAAUCGGAAUUACUGGGCGUAAAGCGCGCGUAGGCGGUUUGUUAAGUUGGAUGUGAAAGCCCCGGGCUUAACCUGGGAGGGUCAUUCAAAACUGGCAGACUAGAGUGUGGUAGAGGGUAGUGGAAUUCCUAGUGUAGCGGUGAAAUGCGUAGAGAUUAGGAGGAACACCAGUGGCGAAGGCGACUGCCUGGACCAACACUGACGCUGAGGUGCGAAAGCGUGGGUAGCGAACAGGAUUAGAAACCCCAGUAGUCC
Molecule: ribosomal RNA, 274 nt
Filed under: uncultured bacterium
Lineage: Bacteria
Description: partial 16S ribosomal RNA
Rfam family: Bacterial small subunit ribosomal RNA
Source: RNAcentral